This 425-nucleotide ribosomal RNA is filed under the name uncultured bacterium. Its description in RNAcentral is "bacterial SSU rRNA". It matches the Rfam family "Bacterial small subunit ribosomal RNA", at positions 354 to 796 of the family's 1533-position model. The record is from RNAcentral.
GUGGGGAAUAUUGGACAAUGGGGGAAACCCUGAUCCAGCAAUGCCGCGUGAGUGAAGAAGGCCUUAGGGUUGUAAAGCUCUUUCGCCCGUGACGAUGAUGACGGUAACGGGAGAAGAAGCCCCGGCUAAUUCCGUGCCAGCAGCCGCGGUAAUACGGAAGGGGCUAGCGUUGUUCGGAUUUACUGGGCGUAAAGCGCAUGUAGGCGGCGGAUCAAGUGGGGCGUGAAAGGCCUGGGCUCAACCUGGGAACUGCGCUUCAGACUGGUUCGCUCGAGUUCGGGAGAGGGUGGUGGAAUUCCCAGUGUAGAGGUGAAAUUCGUAGAUAUUGGGAGGAACACCGGUGGCGAAGGCGGCCACCUGGCCCGAGACUGACGCUCAAGUGCGAAAGCGUGGGGAGCAAACAGGAUUAGAUACCCCAGUAGUCC